Molecule: transfer RNA, 73 nt
Filed under: Camelus bactrianus (Bactrian camel)
Lineage: Eukaryota; Metazoa; Chordata; Mammalia; Artiodactyla; Camelidae
Also listed under: 2 other names
Rfam family: tRNA
About the family: Transfer RNA (tRNA) molecules are approximately 80 nucleotides in length. Their secondary structure includes four short double-helical elements and three loops (D, anti-codon, and T loops).
Source: Rfam by way of RNAcentral
GGGGGUAUAACUCAGUGGUAGAGCACAUGCUUAGCAUGCACGAAGUCCUGGGUUCAAUCCCCAGUUACUUCCA